RNAcentral lists this ribosomal RNA (465 nucleotides) under Vreelandella stevensii. RNAcentral's name for it is "partial 16S ribosomal RNA". It matches the Rfam family "Bacterial small subunit ribosomal RNA", at positions 338 to 795 of the family's 1533-position model. Lineage: Bacteria; Pseudomonadati; Pseudomonadota; Gammaproteobacteria; Oceanospirillales; Halomonadaceae. The record is from RNAcentral.
CCUACGGGAGGCAGCAGUGGGGAAUAUUGGACAAUGGGGGGAACCCUGAUCCAGCCAUGCCGCGUGUGUGAAGAAGGCCCUCGGGUUGUAAAGCACUUUCAGUGAGGAAGAACGCCUGGUGGUUAAUACCCAUCAGGAAAGACAUCACUCACAGAAGAAGCACCGGCUAACUCCGUGCCAGCAGCCGCGGUAAUACGGAGGGUGCGAGCGUUAAUCGGAAUUACUGGGCGUAAAGCGCGCGUAGGUGGCUUGAUAAGCCGGUUGUGAAAGCCCCGGGCUCAACCUGGGAACGGCAUCCGGAACUGUCAAGCUAGAGUGCAGGAGAGGAAGGUAGAAUUCCCGGUGUAGCGGUGAAAUGCGUAGAGAUUGGGAGGAAUACCAGUGGCGAAGGCGGCCUUCUGGACUGACACUGACACUGAGGUGCGAAAGCGUGGGUAGCAAACAGGAUUAGAUACCCCAGUAGUC